Molecule: long non-coding RNA, 452 nt
Filed under: Ixodes scapularis (black-legged tick)
Lineage: Eukaryota; Metazoa; Arthropoda; Arachnida; Ixodida; Ixodidae
Description: uncharacterized LOC121836027
Source: RNAcentral
AGAACGCCAAGUCGGUCUUAGCUAGAUGAUGUCAUGCGUGCCCUCCAAGCGGCAUACCCCUUCCUGGCCGACUCCACUGGACGCUGCGCUUGCUACUCGUCAGUCUCACUGUAGGAUUCACUGCGGCACAGCCUUAUUAACAAAAUGAAAAAAGAAAGGUUGCUUCUUAUGCAUCUGCCAGAAGUUCAGCAAAACAAGGAAAACUAUGGCAAAGGUGGUGGACGAAAGCGAAAGGAAAAACGCCAACGCAGUGACUGUAUUCAAAAAUAAAAAAAGGACCAUGGUUCCACAUCAUGACGUAGAAGGUACCGACAACUGUGCAGACCACAUAGAUAUUAUGGCUGCUGAAUGCUCCAAGGCUGCAACAGAUGUGAAGCUCUUACUUCAAAUAAUGGCACAGACGUAACAGGCAAGGAGGGUAGACAUCGCUGGCAAGACCACCACUGAUGUUA